This 528-nucleotide ribosomal RNA is filed under the name Lactiplantibacillus plantarum. Its description in RNAcentral is "bacterial SSU rRNA". It matches the Rfam family "Bacterial small subunit ribosomal RNA", at positions 369 to 873 of the family's 1533-position model. The record is from RNAcentral. Lineage: Bacteria; Bacillati; Bacillota; Bacilli; Lactobacillales; Lactobacillaceae.
CAAUGGGCGCAAGCCUGAUGGAGCAACACCGCGUGAGUGAAGAAGGGUUUCGGCUCGUAAAGCUCUGUUGUUAAAGAAGAACACGUAUGAGAGUAACUGUUCAUACGUUGACGGUAUUUAACCAGAAAGUCACGGCUAACUACGUGCCAGCAGCCGCGGUAAUACGUAGGUGGCAAGCGUUAUCCGGAUUUAUUGGGCGUAAAGAGAGUGCAGGCGGUUUUCUAAGUCUGAUGUGAAAGCCUUCGGCUUAACCGGAGAAGUGCAUCGGAAACUGGAUAACUUGAGUGCAGAAGAGGGUAGUGGAACUCCAUGUGUAGCGGUGGAAUGCGUAGAUAUAUGGAAGAACACCAGUGGCGAAGGCGGCUACCUGGUCUGCAACUGACGCUGAGACUCGAAAGCAUGGGUAGCGAACAGGAUUAGAUACCCUGGUAGUCCAUGCCGUAAACGAUGAGUGCUAGGUGUUGGAGGGUUUCCGCCCUUCAGUGCCGGAGCUAACGCAUAAGCACUCCGCUGGAGACACCGAAAUGG